Molecule: long non-coding RNA, 630 nt
Organism: Clupea harengus (Atlantic herring)
Lineage: Eukaryota; Metazoa; Chordata; Actinopteri; Clupeiformes; Clupeidae
Source: RefSeq, a predicted model, not a curated record
UCGGAUGCUCGGAUGUUCACCUCAGGUGCACAUUUCCAACUGAGCGUGACUGCCUGGAUGUGAGCAGCGUCUCCAAACACCAUACGCCAUAGGGCAUGCUGAUGACUUUACAUGAUGACCGGGAACAGGGAGUUUAUUGCCCCCAUGGUGAACCCAGCCCCGGGCCCCCGCUCCCCUGUACCACAGGCCCAGGUAGCGGUCUUCUCCACGGGAGGUCAACUUCAGAAGGAGGAGGAAAGGAUUGUGCGGUGAUUUAACCUUUUAGAAGUUUACAUUGGUGGGAUAUAUACUUAAUACGACAGAUAAAUGGUAAAUAUUCACAGUCACGCAUCAUACCCUGCGAUAAAGUGAUAACCCAUGCCGACCAAUGCACAGACGUUGCACAUCUGUGUUUAAGAUCUGCAAAGUCCUAUCUCACUCUUUAACACUUUCUACAGCUAUCCUCACAUUCUUGACCACCUAAACCCCAGAUGCAAGAUUGUGAUGCGCCCUUUUGUGGUUGAGUGCAGGCUGCUGAACACUUCCUCUGGUUAUCGGGACGUUCCGUUCUCUUCCUGGUGGUCGGCUUGUUACGUUGCUUUUCAUCGAGCACUAUUGUAAACGAAUGGAAUAAACAUUCAACAAUGACAA